ACUGUCUGCAUCUCCCUGCAUUCCCUGCUCCCUGCAUACCAGCAUUACCAUCAGAGGAAAGCCAUUAAAUACAGGCAGUUUUGUCUCUUUAGUGGAAAAGGUAAUGAAAGAGUGGGAUUUGAAUGCAGCAUGAUCUGAAGGUUCAUUCCAACCCAGGCCAUUCUAGGAAAUAUACAGCUGGAUUAUCUAUGACACAGCCUACCAUGAAGUGGAGAAUCCCUGUGUUUGUGCUGUCUGAAAUAUCUCUGUGGCAAGACAGAAUACACAUUCUGAAAACCCAAAAAUGCUGCAGGAAAAGCUGAUGUUGUGGAACCUCUGGACAGCCACAGCUAUACACUGAUCAAAUAUUUCUCUGGCAAACCAAAAACUCUUCUGCAGAUAUGCUGAGGGUAUAUUUGGAGGUGGCUAUGCUGUCUGACUGGGAGGCAGUGAUUGCUGGCUCAGAAAUAAGAUGUUACAGACAUCCAGCCAAGAAAAGUUGCCACAGCAGUGAUGAUGCCAUGAAUUGAAUUUAUGGGCUAUUGUGUAUUUAUCCACUGUCAUUGCUAAGCAGAACAAGCAGCAAAACUCCCAUCAGCCACAGCAUCUGUUAAGCUUUAAAGCAUAACUUCAAAAUUAGACCCUGUGUUUGCAAAUCCAGUGCCAUGCAAAGAAGUGCCAUCUGGCCUAGAUCUGUUUGAGAGUAAAUCCAUUUGUUUUGUGAAACUGAGGAGAGACAGACCCAAAAAACCACAAGGCAUUUGCAUAGAUAAUUUACAGUAGUUGACUUAGACAUGGGAAUUGACCAUUUCUGUGCAAUAGGGUAGUGAAAAACAAUGCACUUACACUAAGAUGCCAGAAUAAUCUCAUCAAGUGAGUACAAGGGGAAACUCUAUUUGGCUUUUAAAGUCUUAACAAGAUAUAAGGAUAUUUGAAAAGGAAAUGGAUUCCUGUAGGGCAUAAUAAAAUAAGAUAUGGGCCCUAAGGUAACUAUUUUACCCUCUGUAACACCAAAAAGCUGGAUCAGUUGAUUUACAGUGAGAAUUUUAAGGCAGCACAGAAGUUCUCUUUGAUCCAAAAGCAGCUAGGAGUACCAAAAAGAUGUCACAGUUGAUCAGAGUUCAGUUGAUCAAUUCAUGGUGAUAGGAACAUCUUCUGGAAUAUUGAACAGGUAAUCUUAUCUGACACUUUUUGAGGGACUUCAGAUAUAUGCCAAGAGCAUGAAAACUAAUUAUUAUUCUAAACUAUGAUAAAGAAAGAAGGUCAGAAAUUUUAAUUGCCAUCAAAUAUUUUUUCUGGAUUCUGCAUUCAUGAGUGUGAAACCCUACAGAUAUUCUUCAGAGAUACCAACAGAAGGACUAACAUUAAAUGAUGAAGAAAUUAUAUACAAGUUAUCAGUCACAAAAUAUUUCAAACUUCUAGAGUCUUUAACUGAUAGUAGCACAGUGCCUUGGGAAGCAGCCUAGAAACAGCAUUCAUAUGAAGUCAGCAUUUUUCAAGCAAAACCCUGAGGCAUACAAGUGCAGCUGUACUGAAAGAAGUUGUGCCUGGCUGUGGUUUUUGGAGUUUGAAGGUUGGGAAAUUCUUGAGAGCAUGGUGGCUGUGCAGCCUCGUAUAAUGAGUCUUGAGGAAGCCUCUGCUGAGUAAAUUCAACUGACCAUGCUUUGGAUUGUGAUGAAUAGCAAAUCAAUGCCAAUGAA
Long non-coding RNA from Pogoniulus pusillus (Red-fronted tinkerbird), 1679 nucleotides. RefSeq lists it as uncharacterized. The record is from RefSeq and is a predicted model, not a curated record. Lineage: Eukaryota; Metazoa; Chordata; Aves; Piciformes; Lybiidae. The transcript is spliced from 5 exons.